This is a non-coding RNA of Pangasianodon gigas (Mekong giant catfish), 74 nucleotides long. The record is from the annotation of a GenBank genome assembly. Lineage: Eukaryota; Metazoa; Chordata; Actinopteri; Siluriformes; Pangasiidae.
GGCAGUAGCAGCUCAGUGGUUAAGAUGUUGGACUUCUGAUCAGAAGGUUGUGAGUUCUAGUCCCAGCACUGCUG